UCCUCCAAUCCUGAAGAUGUGAUGCUGGCUGAAGAAGAAAUGAGGCAGCGCUAUUUCUUCCCUGAUGUACAGGUUC
Molecule: transfer RNA, 76 nt
Filed under: Bacillus subtilis subsp. subtilis str. BSP1
Lineage: Bacteria; Bacillati; Bacillota; Bacilli; Caryophanales; Bacillaceae
Description: tRNA-Lys
Source: RNAcentral